AUUGAACCCUGGCGGCAGGCCUAACACAUGCAAGUCGAACGGUAACAGGAAGCAGCUUGCUGCUUUGCUGACGAGUGGCGGACGGGUGAGUAAUGUCUGGGAAACUGCCUGAUGGAGGGGGAUAACUACUGGAAACGGUAGCUAAUACCGCAUAACGUCGCAAGACCAAAGAGGGGGACCUUCGGGCCUCUUGCCAUCGGAUGUGCCCAGAUGGGAUUAGCUAGUAGGUGGGGUAACGGCUCACCUAGGCGACGAUCCCUAGCUGGUCUGAGAGGAUGACCAGCCACACUGGAACUGAGACACGGUCCAGACUCCUACGGGAGGCAGCAGUGGGGAAUAUUGCACAAUGGGCGCAAGCCUGAUGCAGCCAUGCCGCGUGUAUGAAGAAGGCCUUCGGGUUGUAAAGUACUUUCAGCGGGGAGGAAGGGAGUAAAGUUAAUACCUUUGCUCAUUGACGUUACCCGCAGAAGAAGCACCGGCUAACUCCGUG
RNAcentral lists this ribosomal RNA (490 nucleotides) under uncultured bacterium. RNAcentral's name for it is "partial 16S ribosomal RNA". It matches the Rfam family "Bacterial small subunit ribosomal RNA", at positions 30 to 507 of the family's 1533-position model. The record is from RNAcentral.